This 102-nucleotide ribosomal RNA is filed under the name uncultured bacterium. RNAcentral describes it as "partial 16S ribosomal RNA". The record is from RNAcentral.
CAAUACCGAGUGGGUGACGAAGGCCUUAGGGUUGUAAAGCCCUUUUCAGCAGGGAAGAUAAUGACGGUACCUGACCAAGAAAAGCCCCGGCUAACUCCGUGC